Long non-coding RNA from Crotalus tigris (Tiger rattlesnake), 6028 nucleotides. RefSeq lists it as uncharacterized. The record is from RefSeq and is a predicted model, not a curated record. Lineage: Eukaryota; Metazoa; Chordata; Lepidosauria; Squamata; Viperidae. The transcript is spliced from 11 exons.
AAAUUAACCAGUGGAACAGCUUGCCUUCAGAAGAUGCAGGUUCUUCUUGAUUGGAGGUUUUUAAGAAAAGACUGGAAAGCCACCUAUCUGAAAUGGUAUAGAGUUUCCAGCUUGAGCAGCAGGUUAGAUUAGAAGAUCAACAAGGUCCCUCCCAGCUCUAUUCUGAUUUAUUGAUUGAUUAUUCAUGCUAUAGGAAUGCUGAGUUCUCCUCCUGCAAUUCCAUGACAGGGAGCUGAGUGACUUGGGAAGAUCACCAGAAAGCUUAGUGAUUUUGAACCAAUAAUCCAGAGUGGGCAACUUCUAUUCCUGCAAUAGGCAUAGUGAAGUCUACUCAUGCAAUACCGAUGACAGCGGCUGAGUGAUUUUGAGCAUAUCACUGGGAAAAGGUAAGUUCCAUUCAUGCAGUGCUGAUGACAGGCUGCUGAGUGAUCUUGGGCAGACCAUCAAGAAGAGGAAAGAUCUACUCCUGCAAGACAGAUGACAGGCGGCUGAGUGACCAUGGGCAGUUCACCUGGAAAAGGUAAAUUCUACUCCUACAACACACACAACAUUAGCCUAUAGACAUUGUUCUAGUUUGCAAUACAAAUGACCAAUGGCUGAUUUACCUGGGAAAGGUGAGUUCUACUCAUAUAGUAUGGAUGACAGGUGGCUGAGUGUUUUUGAGCUGAUCACCAGAAAAAGUUGAGUUCUAUUCCUGCAAUAUUGAUGACAGGAUGCUAGGUGAUUUGGGAAGACAACAAGGAAACAGUGAAUUCUACUCCUAUAAUAUGAAAAAAAGGUGGCUUAAUGACAUUGGACCAAUAGCCCACAGAAACUAACUUCUAUUCAUGCUACGGACAUGGGGAGUUCUACUUCUGCAAACUCUGUGAGAGACAGCGCAAGUGACUGUGGGCAGAUCCCCAGAAAAAGGUUAGUACUCCUAUAAUAAGGAAAAUGGGUGGCUUAGCGGCAUUGGACCAAUAACCAAGAGACGGUAACUUGUAUUCUUACUAUAGGAAUGGUGACUUCUACUUCUGCAAAAUCAAUGACAGUGACUGAGUGACCUUGGGAGACCACCUGGAAGAGGUAAGUUAGGUUCCUGUAAUGCAGAUGACAGGUGGCUGAGUGAGCUUGGAUAUUUCACAUGGAAAAGGUGAGUUGUAUUGCUACAAUGUAUACGAGAUCCAGCCUAUUCACACUGAACCAAUAACCAAGAUUCAGCAAUUUCUCUUUCUUCAACAGGCUUUGUGAGUCCUACUCCUGCCAUUCCAAAGGUAGGCAGCUGAGUGACUUUAGGAAGGUCAUCUGGAAUUGUGUAUUUUCCUCCUGUAAUAUGGAUGACAGAGUGGUCAGUGAGAUUGCACCAAUAAUCAAAAGAUGGUAACUUCCAUAUCUGCUAUAGGUAUUGUCAGUUCUACUUCUGGAUUAUACAUGUCAUACGGUUGACUGAAUUUGGGCUAGCUACCAGAAAAAGGCAUGCUGAGUUCCACUCCUGCAAAAUCCACGAGAGGCAGCUCAAGUGUUUGUGGGAAGAUCCCCCCAAAAGGCAUGAUGAUUUCUACUUCUGCAACAUCAAUUUGACAAUGGGUGAAUGACUUUGGGAGACCACCCGGAAGAGGUAAGUUCUAUUCCUGUAAUGCAGAUGACAGGUGGCUGAGUGAGCUUGGAUAUUUCACAUGUAAAAGGUGUGUUCUAUUGCUACAACUUAUACAAGAUCCAGUCUAUUGACACUGAACCCAUAACCAAGAUUCAGCAAUUUCUCUUUCUUCAACAGGCUUUAUGACUCCUACUCCUGCAAUUUCAAAGGUAGGUGGCUGAGUGACUUUAGAAAGAUCAUCUGGAAUUGUGUGUUUUCCUCCUGCAAUAUGGAUGACAGGGUGGUCAGUGAGAUUGCACCAAUAACCAAAAGAUGAUAACUUCUAUAUCUGCUAUAGGUAUCGUGAGUUCUAUUUAUAUUUCCAAAGUCAUAUGGUUGACUAAAUGUCAGUUAGUUACCAGGAAAAGGUGAGUUCUAUGUUUACAAUUCUGAUGACAGGCUUCUGAGUGACAUUGGGCAGACCAGCAGCAAAAGGUGAGUUCUACGACUACUAUAUGCAAAACAGUUGGUGACAUUAGACCAAUAACAAGACAUGGUAACUUCUAUUCCUGUAAUAGGCAUGGUGAGUUCUACUCCUGCAAAAUCCACGAAAGGCAGCUCAAGUGGUUAUAGGCAGAUCCCCCAAAAGGCAUGAUGAUUUCUACUUCUGCAACAUCCAUGACAAUGGGUGAGUGACCUUGGGAGACCACCCAGAAGAGGUAAGUUCUAUUCCUGUAAUGCAGAUGACAGGUGGCUGAGUGAGCUUGGAUAUUUCACAUGGAAAAGGUGAGUUUUAUUCCUUCAAGAUAAACGGGAUCCAGUCUAUUGACACUGGACCAAUAACCAAGAUUCAGAAAUUUCUCUUUCUUCAUCAGACUUUGUGAGUCCUACUCCUGCAAUUCCAAAGGUAUUUCACAUGGAAAGGGUGAGUUCUAUUCCUACAAGAUACACGAAAGUCAGCCUAUUGACACUGAACCAAUAACCAAGAUUCGGUAAUUUCACUUUCCGCAAUAGGCAUUCUGAGUUUUACUCCUGCAAUUCCAAAGGUAUUUCCCAUGGAAAAGGUGAGUUCUAUUCCUUAAAUAUAUGCGAGAGGUAGUCUAUUGACACUGAACCAUUAAUCAAGAUUCGGCAAUUUCUCUUUCUUCGAUAGGCAUCGUGAGUGGAACAGCUGCAAUUCCAAAGGUAUUUCCCAUGGAAAAGGUGAGUUCUAUUCCUUUAAGAUAUACGAGAUCCAGUCUUUUGACACUGAACGAAUAACAAAGAUUCGGCAAUUUCUCGUUUCUUCUAUAGGCAUCAUGAGUAGCACCUGAGGCUUCUGAGUUACAUGGGGCAGACCAGCAGCAAAAGGCAUGGUGAGUUCCACUCCUGCAAAAUCCACAAGAGGCAGCUCAAAUGGUUGUGGGCAGAUCCCCAAAAAAGGCAUGGUGAGUUCUACUUCUACAAAAAUCAAUGACAAUGGGUGAGUGACCUUGGGAGACCACCCGGAAGAGGUAAGUUCUAUUCCUUUAAUGCAGAUAACAAAUGGCUGAGUGAGCUCGGAUAUUUCACAUGGAAAAGGUGAGUUCUAGUGCUACAACUUAUACAAGAUCCAGUCUAUUGACACUGAACCAAUAACCAAGAUUUGGCAAUUUCUCUUUCUUCUAUAGGCAUCGUGAGUGGCACAGCUGCAAUUCCAAAGAUAUUUCACAUGGAAAAGGCAUCGUGAGUGGCACAGCUGCAAUUCCAAAGAUAUUUCACAUGGAAAAGGUAUAUGAGUUCCAUAUCUGCAAUUCCAAAGGUAUUUCUCACGGAAAAGGUGAGUUCUAUUGCUACAACUUAUACAAGAUCCAGUCUAUUGAUACCGAACCCAUAACCAAAAUUCAGCAAUUUCUCUUUCUUCAUCAGGUUUUGUGAGUCCUACUCCUGCAAUUCCAAAUGUAGGCAACAGAGUGAGUUUAGGAAGAUCACCUGGAAUUGUGUGUUUUCCUCCUGUAAUAUGGAUGUCUGGGGAGAUUAGUGAGAUUGCACCAAUAACCAAAAGAUGAUAGCUUCUAUACCCGCUAUAGGCUUCUGAGUGACAUUGGCUGACCACCAGGAAAAGAUGAGUUCUACUGCUGCAAUAUGCAAAACAGGUGGUUUAUUGACAAUGGACCAAUAACCAAAAACUGGUAACUGCUAUUCCUGCUACAGGUAUGGUGAGUUCUAUUCCUGCUAAAUGUGUGCAUGGUAGCUCAAGUGGUUGUGGGCAGAUCCCCUGAAAAGGUUAGUUCUUCUCCUACAAUAUGCAAAAUAGGUGGCUUAGCGGCAUUGGACCAAUAACCACGAGACCGUAAGUUCUAUUCCUGCUAUAGGCAUGGUGAGUUCUAUUUCCUACCAAAUCAAUGAUAGUUGCUUAAUAACCUUGGGAGACCACCAGGAAGAGGUAAGUUCUAUUCCUGUAAUGUGGAUGAUAAGUGGUUGAGUGAGCUUCGGCAUUUCAACAAGAAAACGUGAUUUCUAUUCCUACAUGAUGCAAGAAACCGAGCUUAUUGCCACUGAACCAAUAACCAAGAUUCCGUAACUUUUAUUCCUGCUGUAGGCAUGGUGGGUUCUACUUUUGUAACAUACAUGGUAACUGGCUGAAUGAUUUGAAGAAAUUACAUGGAGAAGGUGAGUUUUACUGAAUUCGCUUAAUGGGCAACUUGUUAACUUAGAGAUGUUGAGUUUUUUUUUCCUGCAAUAGGUAUGGUUAGUUUUUCUCUUGCAAUAAUCAUGAUAUGCGGUUGAGUGACUUUGGCUGGUCAUUAGUUGAAGGUGAGUGGUACUCCUAUAUUAUGCAUAAGAGGUGGAUUAGUUACUUUGGACCAAUCAGUAGUAGAUUUUGAAUUCUAAUGCUAUAAUAAUUGUGACAGGCAGCUGAAUCUCUUUGUGCAGAUCACCAAUAGAUGGUCCAUUUUACUCCUACAAUACACAGGAUGGCCGGCUGAGUGAAUUUCAGUUAAUCUCCAUACGAUGGAGAUGGUGAGUUCAAAUCCUGCAAUAUAUAUGACCGGCAGCUUUAUGACUUUGGCUAGAUGAUCAGUAAACCAUGAGUUCUACUUCUACAAUACACACAACAGACGACUGAGUGACUUUUGACCAAUAACCAGGAAAUGUCCUAGGAAGGAGGCAAUGGCAAACCACCUCUCAAAAUGUGCAUGGAUUUGUUUAGACAGUAUCUGAGAAUUGGACCUGACUAAAGAGAAGAAAAAAGGAGCAAUGGAUGAUGAAGACGGAAGAGACCCUCCUCAGCACAUCGUGUCCUCUUGGCCUCCAAGCAGACCAACAUCCCCUGUUGAGUGAUCUGAAGUCAGCGAUUGCAGUGGGACCCAAGCCAUUUCAUUGUGUGAUUGCUGAAUGAACCAGAACCACUUGAUGCUGUACUGCAGAAGUCUCCAACCUUUUUGAUUUGGCGGCCUGGAAAGAGAGGCAGGCACCGCUACAUGCGCACGCACAAAUGAGCUGCGUGCAUGCACAAAAAUGAGCCCCGUGCACACACGCACACAUGGACUGUGCAUGAGUGCAUGUGCACACACAAAUGGCUUCACAUGAGCGCAUGCGAACACACAAAUGGCCACACACAAGCACAUGUGCACAAGUAAAUGGGGCUGCUCGGUGGUGGGGCAGCACUAAUGCUGGCAGGAUGCUAGGGGUGGCGCUAGCACCGGUGGGAUGCUUGGGGCAGAGUGAUACCAGCGCCAGCGGGAUGCUUGGGACAGCACUUCAUGCGGCCCAGUGGCCAAGUGGCCAUGGCCCGGUAGUGGGCCAUGGCCCACAGGUUGGGGACCCCUGCUGUACUGUAUUAACCAAUGAGCGUAGAGUCCCCACAAGCCAUGAAUCUCAACUGAAUUAAGCUGGAAAGCUGGAAAUCCAGGAGACUCUCUGAGCAGCAGUCUGUGAGAGCUUCUCUGCCCCGACACCUGGCACUGCACCCAGCUUUGCAAUGACCUGAUUGGCUAACAGAACAAGUCUAUCUGGACUCAUUUCAAUUUGAUUCAUAACUUAAUCCUAAUAAAUAUUGCAUGACAAAUCAUGAUAUGCAAUUACUUCUGAAUGCGUCAGAACCACUUGAUAUUGCAUUGUGUUAACCAAUGAGCGUAGAGUCCUCACAAGCCAUGAAUCUGAACCGAACAAAUCUGGAAAGCUGGCUGGGAAUUCUGGGAGUUGACGUUCCCACAUCUCAAAGCCGCCAAGUUGGAGGAACACCGAUUUAGAGUCUCCCCAACUCCACCUGGCUGUGGGCAGCUGAUUUUCCCCAACAGAAUAAUGAAAAUAAAAAAGAAAGAAACUGAGCAUGAGCAUAGAGGAGACCUCUGAACAUACAGCAAUCCGUGAGGGCUUCUCUGCCACCCUGCCCCGACACCUGGCAUUGCACCCAGUUUUGCAAUGAUCUGACUGGCGUACAGAAGAAGUCUACCUGGACUCAUUUCAAUUUGAUUCAUAAUUUAUUCCUAAUAAAUGUUGCUAGACAAA